Molecule: small RNA, 454 nt
Filed under: Fusarium mangiferae
Lineage: Eukaryota; Fungi; Ascomycota; Sordariomycetes; Hypocreales; Nectriaceae
Description: eukaryotic LSU rRNA
Rfam family: 5.8S ribosomal RNA (bases 162-313)
Source: RNAcentral
AAACCGGUUCAUUACCGAGUUUACAACUCCCAAACCCCUGUGAACAUACCAAUUGUUGCCUCGGCGGAUCAGCCCGCUCCCGGUAAAACGGGACGGCCCGCCAGAGGACCCCUAAACUCUGUUUCUAUAUGUAACUUCUGAGUAAAACCAUAAAUAAAUCAAAACUUCAACAACGGAUCUCUUGGUUCUGGCAUCGAUGAAGAACGCAGCAAAAUGCGAUAAGUAAUGUGAAUUGCAGAAUUCAGUGAAUCAUCGAAUCUGAACGCACAUUGCGCCCGCCAGUAUUCUGGCGGGCAUGCCUGUUCGAGCGUCAUUUCAACCCUCAAGCCCCCGGGUUUGGUGUUGGGGAUCGGCGGCAGCCGGCCCCGAAAUCUAGUGGCGGUCUCGCUGCAGCUUCCAUUGCGUAGUAGUAAAACCCUCGCAACUGGUACGCGGCGCGGCCAAGCCGUUAAAC